Dallia pectoralis (Alaska blackfish) is the source of this 71-nucleotide non-coding RNA. The record is from the annotation of a GenBank genome assembly. Lineage: Eukaryota; Metazoa; Chordata; Actinopteri; Esociformes; Umbridae.
GAGUUGGUACCUCAGUGGUAGAGUGCAUGUUUUGUAUGUAUGAUGUCCUCAGGUUUUUCCUGGUCGAAUCU